RNAcentral lists this ribosomal RNA (40 nucleotides) under Russula chloroides. Its description in RNAcentral is "partial 28S ribosomal RNA". Lineage: Eukaryota; Fungi; Basidiomycota; Agaricomycetes; Russulales; Russulaceae. The record is from RNAcentral. RNAcentral also lists the same sequence under 3 other names.
UGACCUCAAAUCGGGUGAGACUACCCGCUGAACUUAAGCA